AAGAAUGUUAGCAAUGGGGGAUUUAUUUCAUGGACAGCGCACCAAAGUCUCUUUUACUAAGAAUGUACAUGAACACUGAUAGGAAUAAGGGUAGUGAUUAUUAGAAUUGUAUCAAUAAUGAUAUUAUUGACAUUAAUAGGAUGUUGUAGGUAAAAAUUAUAUCGGUGGCUAAUCAGUUUUUGGUUUUGUUGACAAAUGUAGUCCUGAUAUUGAGAGAAGAUUCUGAGAAACUGUUCAUGCUGACUCUCCUUUGUCUGCUUCAGAGGUUCUGCUCCAUCAGCCCUGCAAGAAGCCCCACAGAGAAAAUAUUCACAUAACUUGAGAGCUGCAUGCCCUGUUAUCUUGCCAUGCUACCUGAUAACUGGUUUACAAGACAUCACAGGAUAUGGACUGUAGAAGGCUCUUACCUUGUAUUCAAAGCUAUGGCCAUGAAAGUGAACUGUGUGCAGGUCAGCUUCAUUCC
RNAcentral lists this long non-coding RNA (463 nucleotides) under Homo sapiens (human). RNAcentral describes it as "non-protein coding lnc-HPS3-4:1". Lineage: Eukaryota; Metazoa; Chordata; Mammalia; Primates; Hominidae. The record is from RNAcentral.